GCAGUCGAACGGCAGCACGGGUGCUUGCACCUGAGUGGCGAGUGGCCUUAGGGUGAGUAAUACAUCGGAACGUACCUUAUCGUGGGGGAUAACGCAGCGAAAGCUGUGCUAAUACCGCAUACGCCCUGAGGGGGAAAGCGGGGGAUCGAAAGACCUCGCGCGAUUAGAGCGGCCGAUGCCUGAUUAGCUUGUUGGUGGGGUAAAAGCCCACCAAGGCGACGAUCAGUAGCUGGUCUGAGAGGACGAUCAGCCACACUGGGACUGAGACACGGCCCAUACUCCUACGGGAGGCAGCAGUGGGGAAUUUUGGACAAUGGGGGAAACCCUGAUCCACCAAUGCCGCGUGAGUGAAGAACGCCUUCGGGUUGUAAAGCCCUUUUGUCAGGGAAGAAACACCGGCUCUAACACAGUCCGGGAAUGACGGUACCUGAAGAAUAAGCACCGGCUAACUACGUGCCAGCAGCCGCGGUAAUACGUACGGUGCGAGCGUUAAUCUGAAUUACUGAGCGUAAAGCGUGCGCAUGCUGUUAUACA
Molecule: ribosomal RNA, 534 nt
Filed under: uncultured Burkholderiaceae bacterium
Lineage: Bacteria; Pseudomonadati; Pseudomonadota; Betaproteobacteria; Burkholderiales; Burkholderiaceae
Description: bacterial SSU rRNA
Rfam family: Bacterial small subunit ribosomal RNA
Source: RNAcentral